UACGUAGGUGGCAAGCGUUGUCCGGAAUUAUUGGGCGUAAAGCGCGCGCAGGCGGUCCUUUAAGUCUGAUGUGAAAGCCCACGGCUCAACCGUGGAGGGUCAUUGGAAACUGGGGGACUUGAGUACAGAAGAGAAGAGUGGAAUUCCACGUGUAGCGGUGAAAUGCGUAGAGAUGUGGAGGAACACCAGUGGCGAAGGCGGCUAUCUGGACGGUUUCUGACACUAAGACUCGAAAGCGUGGGGAGCAAACAGG
This 253-nucleotide ribosomal RNA is filed under the name uncultured bacterium. Its description in RNAcentral is "partial 16S ribosomal RNA". It matches the Rfam family "Bacterial small subunit ribosomal RNA", at positions 524 to 776 of the family's 1533-position model. The record is from RNAcentral.